This 1282-nucleotide long non-coding RNA is filed under the name Chloebia gouldiae (Gouldian finch). Its description in RNAcentral is "Erythrura gouldiae (Gouldian finch) lncRNA (ENSEGOG00005018457.1)". The record is from RNAcentral. Lineage: Eukaryota; Metazoa; Chordata; Aves; Passeriformes; Passeridae.
GGACGUCCUUGGCGGGGCUUUGGUGGCUCUGGGGACAUCUCAGGGGGGUUUUGGUGGCUCUGGGGAUAUCCUGAUGUCCCCCCGGUGUCCCCCCGGUGUCCCCCCGGUGUCCCCCCGGUGUCCCCAGGUGCGGGAGCGGCUGCGGGUGGCCCUGGAGCGCGUGGCCGUCCUCGAGGAGGAGCUGGAGGUGUCCAACCAGGAGGUGGGGACAGCAGGGGACAGCAGGGGACAGCCGGGGACAUCAGGGGACACCGGGGGACAGCUGGGGACAGCAGGGGACAGCAGGGGACAGCAGGGGACAGCAGGGUGGUGACACCGGGGUGGGGACACGGGGGUGGCGCCAGGGGUGACGCCAAUCGUGGUCCUUCGGAGGGUGACAUUUGUGCCCUGUCCUUGUCCCUGGGGGUGGCACUGUGACUGUCCCUGUCCCUGUCCCUGUCCCUGUCCCUGUCCCUGGGGGUGGCACUGUGACUGUCCCUGUCCCUGUCCCUGUCCCUGUUCCCUGUUCCCUGUUCCCUGUCCCUGUCCCUGUCCCUGUCCCCGUCCCCAUCCCUGUCCCUGUCCCUGUGACUGUCCCUGUCCCUGUCCCUGUCCCUGUCACUGUCACUGUCACUGUCCCCAUCCCUGUCCCUGUCCCUGUCUCUGUCCCUGUCCCUGUCACUGUCACUGUCCCCUGUCACUGUCCCCGUCCCUGUCCCUGUCCCUGUCCCCUCCCUGUCACUGUCCCUGUCACUGUCCCCUGUCACUGUCCCUGUCACUGUCCCCUGUCACUGUCCCUGUCCCUGUCCCUGUCCCCAUCCCUGUCCCCUGUCCCUGUCCCUGUCCCUGUCCCUGUCCCUGUCCCUGUCCCUGUCCCUGUCCCCAUCCCUGUCCCUGUCCCUGUCCCCUCCCUGUCACUGUCCCUGUCACUGUCCCUGUCACUGUCCCUGUCCCUGUCCCUGUCCUGUCCCUGUCCCUGUCCCUGUCCCUGUCUCUGUCCCUGUCCCCUGUCACUGUCCCUGUCCCUGUCACCAUCCCUGUGUCACCGUUGCUGUCCCCGCAGUCUCUCUCCCUCCGGGAGCAGCUCUCCCUCUCCCUGUCCCUGUCCCUGUCACUGUCCCUGUGUCCCUGUCACUGUGUCACCGUUGCUGUCCCUGUGUCACUGUCACUGUGUCACAGUUGCUGUCCCUGUCCCUGUCACUCUCACUGUGUCACCCUCUCUGUCCCCGCAGUCUCUCUCCCUCCGGGAGCAGCUCUCCCUCUCCCUGUCCCUGUCACUGUCACUGUCCCUGUGUCCCUGUCA